This 440-nucleotide ribosomal RNA is filed under the name uncultured bacterium. RNAcentral describes it as "partial 16S ribosomal RNA". It matches the Rfam family "Bacterial small subunit ribosomal RNA", at positions 338 to 795 of the family's 1533-position model. The record is from RNAcentral.
CCUACGGGAGGCAGCAGUGGGGGAUAUUGCACAAUGGGGGGAACCCUGAUGCAGCGACGCCGCGUGGGUGAAGAAGCGCCUCGGCGCGUAAAGCCCUGUCAGCAGGGAAGAAAAUGACGGUACCUGAAGAAGAAGCCCCGGCUAACUACGUGCCAGCAGCCGCGGUAAUACGUAGGAUCCGAGCGUUAUCCGGAUUUAUUGGGUGUAAAGGGAGCGUAGACGGCGAAGAAAGUCUGAAGUGAAAGCCCGCGGCUUAACCGCGGAACUGCUUUGGAAACUUUUUUGCUGGAGUACCGGAGAGGUAAGCGGAAUUCCUAGUGUAGCGGUGAAAUGCGUAGAUAUUAGGAGGAACACCAGUGGCGAAGGCGGCUUACUGGACGGUAACUGACGUUGAGGCUCGAAAGCGUGGGGAGCAAACAGGAUUAGAUACCCGAGUAGUC